GACGAACGCUGGCGGCGUGCCUAAUACAUGCAAGUCGAGCGCAGGAAAUCGACGGAACCCUUCGGGGGGAAGUCGACGGAAUGAGCGGCGGACGGGUGAGUAACACGUAAAGAACCUGCCCUCAGGUCUGGGAUAACCACGAGAAAUCGGGGCUAAUACCGGAUGGGUCAUCGGACCGCAUGGUCCGAGGAUGAAAGGCGCUUCGGCGUCGCCUGGGGAUGGCUUUGCGGGGCAUUAGCUAGUUGGUGGGGUAAUGGCCCACCAAGGCGACGAUGCAUAGGCGAGCUGAGAGGGUGAUCGGCCACACUGGGACUGAGACACGGCCCAGACUCCUACGGGAGGCAGCAGUAGGGAAUCUUCCACAAUGGACGAAAGUCUGAUGGAGCAACGCCGCGUGAACGAUGAAGGCCUUCGGGUCGUAAAGUUCUGUUGUAAGGGAAGAACAAGUGCCGCAGGCAAUGGCGGCACCUUGACGGUACCUUGCGAGAAAGCCACGGCUAACUACGUGCCAGCCGCCGCAGUAA
Molecule: ribosomal RNA, 524 nt
Filed under: uncultured bacterium
Lineage: Bacteria
Description: partial 16S ribosomal RNA
Rfam family: Bacterial small subunit ribosomal RNA
Source: RNAcentral